GUUCCGUAGGUGAACCUGCGGAAGGAUCAUUAUUGUAUACACGAGGUGCGAGGGCUGUCGCUGACCCGAAAGGUCGUGCACGCCCGAGUGCCCUCACACACAUCCAUCUCACCCCUAUGUGCACCACCGCGUGGGUCCCCCUUUGGCUUGUUCGGAGGGGGGCUUACGUUUUCACACAAACUUUGUAUGCAGUGUAGAAUGUAUUUUUUGUUUUUGCGAUCACGCAAUCAAUACAACUUUCAACAACGGAUCUCUUGGCUCUC
This 263-nucleotide unclassified non-coding RNA is filed under the name plant metagenome. Its description in RNAcentral is "partial contains small subunit ribosomal RNA, internal transcribed spacer 1, and 5.8S ribosomal RNA". The record is from RNAcentral.